GCAAAAAGGAGCGAGAAGGUCCCGCUGCGCAGCCGGGAGAGAGCGGGGAGGGUGAGCCAGGCGCCGCCUUAAGCCUCCAUUUGCUGCGAGGAAGCGUUUGGCUCCGGGGCAAAGCGGCAUGGCCGAAGGUUUUUGACUUUUUCAUACACUGGCUUGACUUGAAAGAAGAGGUCAGUCUGAGAACAGCCUUUUUCUUUCCCAUAGAGGAAGACUGGAAUCUCUUAAGAGUCUGUCACUGCUACUCUGGUUGACAGGUGAUGCCGCCAAUGAGAUAAGAAUCGUUGCAUUCCCCACAUCAAAAGGUGGAACACACUGUAUGAUAUCUGUUUGCUGGAAGAAAUACUAACCAUAGAAGUCCUUAAGAACAUCAACAUUUAUUUAAUAUGAUAUAAAAGAAAUGAGAUAUGAACAAUCGUAUUUGAACACUCAUCCACACAGCACUGAUUUUGCACAGAAGACUGAAGAACAUGCUGAGAUGAAUAACAUCCUUUUGAAUUCUGCAUAGCAGGUAGUGCUGCCACUGAGGAUUUGACCACUUUCUCACCGUGCUUCCAGUGUGCUGGCAAACUGGGUAUGACACAUACGACUACAGUUUGCUGGAGGUAUGGAGGUAUGAAAUGAUAACUGAGGAAGGUGUUAAGGCUCAAACACAUGUGAAAACUACUAAAAGAAACAUCUGCAAAGCUUUGUUUUGAACUUCCUCUUCU
This is a long non-coding RNA of Cygnus atratus (black swan), 707 nucleotides long. RefSeq lists it as uncharacterized. The record is from RefSeq and is a predicted model, not a curated record. NCBI's taxonomy places the organism in Eukaryota, Metazoa, Chordata, Aves, Anseriformes, Anatidae. The transcript is spliced from 4 exons.